Molecule: transfer RNA, 64 nt
Filed under: Sangariola fortunei
Lineage: Eukaryota; Metazoa; Arthropoda; Insecta; Coleoptera; Chrysomelidae
Description: tRNA-Phe
Source: RNAcentral
AUUUAAAUAGCUUAUAAAGAGCAUGAUAUUGAAGAUAUCAGGGAAGUUUUUUUACUUUUAAAUA